UUCCAUUUAUUCUUAGCUCAGCCGAAGAUGUUCUCAGGUUUCUGCCAUAUGCUGCAUGUCACAGAAGGAGUAAUCAAAAAACAGUAAGGGAAAGAGUUUCAAGUAGCAGCAUUUAUAACCCAGUGUCAGCAAUACUGAGACAUCUCCCAGCUUGAAAGAAUCACAGAAUGAUGGGGAUUUGGAAGAGACCUCUGAGGACAGAAAG
Long non-coding RNA from Pogoniulus pusillus (Red-fronted tinkerbird), 205 nucleotides. RefSeq lists it as uncharacterized. The record is from RefSeq and is a predicted model, not a curated record. NCBI's taxonomy places the organism in Eukaryota, Metazoa, Chordata, Aves, Piciformes, Lybiidae. The transcript has 4 exons.